CCCUUAGAUGUUCGGGGCCGCACGCGCGCUACACUGAAGGAAUCAGCACGUCUUUCUCCUUGUCCGAAAGGACUGGGUAACCCGCUGAACCUCCUUCGUGCUAGGGAUUGGGGCUUGUAAUUCUUCCCCAUGAACGAGGAAUUCCCAGUAAGCGCGAGUCAUAAGCUCGCGUUGAUUACGUCCCUGCCCUUUGUACACACCGCCCGUCGCUACUACCGAUUGGAUGGUUUAGUGAGAUCCUCGGAUUGGUCCCGGAGCGGCCUCUGGUCGUGCCGGAGUGCCGAAAAGAAUGUCGAACAUGAUCAUCUAGAGGAAGUAAAAGUCGUAACA
Molecule: ribosomal RNA, 330 nt
Filed under: uncultured eukaryote
Lineage: Eukaryota
Description: partial 18S ribosomal RNA
Rfam family: Eukaryotic small subunit ribosomal RNA
Source: RNAcentral